RNAcentral lists this transfer RNA (68 nucleotides) under marine eukaryotic metagenome. It matches the Rfam family "tRNA". Rfam says of the family: Transfer RNA (tRNA) molecules are approximately 80 nucleotides in length. Their secondary structure includes four short double-helical elements and three loops (D, anti-codon, and T loops). The record is from RNAcentral.
GGAGUAGCUCAACUUGGUAGAGCAACGGUCUCCAAAACCGUAGGUUGCGGGUUCAAGUCCUGUCUCCC